This 597-nucleotide ribosomal RNA is filed under the name Lodderomyces parapsilosis. RNAcentral's name for it is "eukaryotic LSU rRNA". It matches the Rfam family "Eukaryotic large subunit ribosomal RNA", at positions 47 to 661 of the family's 3401-position model. The record is from RNAcentral. Lineage: Eukaryota; Fungi; Ascomycota; Pichiomycetes; Serinales; Debaryomycetaceae.
UAAGCGGAGGAAAAGAAACCAACAGGGAUUGCCUUAGUAGCGGCGAGUGAAGCGGCAAAAGCUCAAAUUUGAAAUCUGGCACUUUCAGUGUCCGAGUUGUAAUUUGAAGAAGGUAUCUUUGGGUCUGGCUCUUGUCUAUGUUUCUUGGAACAGAACGUCACAGAGGGUGAGAAUCCCGUGCGAUGAGAUGACCCAGACCUAUGUAAAGUUCCUUCGAAGAGUCGAGUUGUUUGGGAAUGCAGCUCUAAGUGGGUGGUAAAUUCCAUCUAAAGCUAAAUAUUGGCGAGAGACCGAUAGCGAACAAGUACAGUGAUGGAAAGAUGAAAAGAACUUUGAAAAGAGAGUGAAAAAGUACGUGAAAUUGUUGAAAGGGAAGGGCUUGAGAUCAGACUUGGUAUUUUGUAUGUUACUCUUUCGGGGGUGGCCUCUACAGUUUACCGGGCCAGCAUCAGUUUGGGCGGUAGGAGAAUUGCAAAGAAAUGUGGCACUGCUUCGGUAGUGUGUUAUAGUCUUUGUCGAUACUGCCAGCCUAGACUGAGGACUGCGGCUUCGGCCUAGGAUGUUGGCAUAAUGAUCUUAAGUCGCCCGUCUUGAACA